CGGGCGGCCGUGACCCUGCUGGAGUGCGGGGGGGACCUCCAGCCCCCCGGGGGGUCCCUGCGCCUCCUCUGCCGAGGGGCCGGGUUCAGUUUUGGCAGUUUUGGCAUGCAGUGGGCCCGCCAGAGACCUGGGCAGGGGCUGGAGUGGCUCGCAGGGAUCACCAAUACUGGUAGCAACCCCAGAUAUGCCCCGUCGGUGCAGGGCCGGUUCAGGAUCUCCAGGGACAACGGGCAGAGCUCGGUGACGCUGACCAUGAACAACCUCAAGGACGAGGAUUCUGCCACCUAUUUCUGC
Molecule: non-coding RNA, 294 nt
Organism: Melospiza melodia melodia
Lineage: Eukaryota; Metazoa; Chordata; Aves; Passeriformes; Passerellidae
Source: the annotation of a RefSeq genome assembly